AUUGAACGCUGGCGGCAUGCUUUACACAUGCAAGUCGAACGGUAACAGGGUGCUUGCACCGCUGACGAGUGGCGAACGGGUGAGUAAUGCAUCGGAAUGUACCGUGUAAUGGGGGAUAGCUCGGCGAAAGCCGGAUUAAUACCGCAUACGCCCUGAGGGGGAAAGUGGGGGACCGAAAGGCCUCACGUUAUACGAGGAGCCGAUGUCUGAUUAGCUAGUUGGUGAGGUAAAGGCUCACCAAGGCGUCGAUCAGUAGCGGGUCUGAGAGGAUGAUCCGCCACACUGGGACUGAGACACGGCCCAGACUCCUACGGGAGGCAGCAGUGGGGAAUUUUGGACAAUGGGCGCAAGCCUGAUCCAGCCAUGCCGCGUGUCUGAAGAAGGCCUUCGGGUUGUAAAGGACUUUUGUCCGGGAGCAAAUCCUAGUGGUUAAUACCUACUGGGGCUGAGAGUACCGGAAGAAUAAGCACCGGCUAACUACGUG
RNAcentral lists this ribosomal RNA (484 nucleotides) under uncultured bacterium. RNAcentral's name for it is "partial 16S ribosomal RNA". It matches the Rfam family "Bacterial small subunit ribosomal RNA", at positions 30 to 507 of the family's 1533-position model. The record is from RNAcentral.